CGUGCAGGCGGUUCCGUAAGUCGGACGUGAAAGCUCCUGGCUUAACUGGGAGAGGUCGUUCGAUACUGCGGGGCUUGAGGUCGGGAGAGGGACGUGGAAUUCCCGGUGUAGUGGUGGAAUGCGUAGAUAUCGGGAGGAAUACCAGUGGCGAAGGCGGCGUCCUGGCCCGUACCUGACGCUGAGACGCGAAAGCGUGGGGAGCGAACG
This 207-nucleotide ribosomal RNA is filed under the name uncultured bacterium. RNAcentral describes it as "partial 16S ribosomal RNA". It matches the Rfam family "Bacterial small subunit ribosomal RNA", at positions 568 to 774 of the family's 1533-position model. The record is from RNAcentral.